RNAcentral lists this ribosomal RNA (253 nucleotides) under uncultured bacterium. RNAcentral's name for it is "partial 16S ribosomal RNA". It matches the Rfam family "Bacterial small subunit ribosomal RNA", at positions 524 to 776 of the family's 1533-position model. The record is from RNAcentral.
UACGUAGGGGGCUAGCGUUGUCCGGAUUUAUUGGGCGUAAAGAGCGUGUAGGCGGCCAUGUAGGUCCGGUGUGAAAACUCGAGGCUUAACCUCGAGAUGUCAUCGGAAACCAUCUGGCUAGAGUCCGGAAGAGGAAAGUGGAAUUCCUGGUGUAGCGGUGAAAUGCGCAGAUAUCAGGAAGAACACCAAUGGCGAAAGCAGCUUUCUGGGACGGUACUGACGCUGAGACGCGAAAGCGUGGGGAGCGAACAGG